AUUGAACACUGGCGGCAGGCCUAACACAUGCAAGUCGAGCGGAUGAAGGGAGCUUGCUCCUGGAUUCAGCGGCGGACGGGUGAGUAAUGCCUAGGAAUCUGCCUGGUAGUGGGGGAUAACGUCCGGAAACGGGCGCUAAUACCGCAUACGUCCUGAGGGAGAAAGUGGGGGAUCUUCGGACCUCACGCUAUCAGAUGAGCCUAGGUCGGAUUAGCUAGUUGGUGGGGUAAAGGCCUACCAAGGCGACGAUCCGUAACUGGUCUGAGAGGAUGAUCAGUCACACUGGAACUGAGACACGGUCCAGACUCCUACGGGAGGCAGCAGUGGGGAAUAUUGGACAAUGGGCGAAAGCCUGAUCCAGCCAUGCCGCGUGUGUGAAGAAGGUCUUCGGAUUGUAAAGCACUUUAAGUUGGGGGGAAGGGCAGUAAGUUAAUACCUUGCUGUUUUGACGUUACCAACAGAAUAAGCACCGGCUAACUUCGUG
This 484-nucleotide ribosomal RNA is filed under the name uncultured bacterium. Its description in RNAcentral is "partial 16S ribosomal RNA". It matches the Rfam family "Bacterial small subunit ribosomal RNA", at positions 30 to 507 of the family's 1533-position model. The record is from RNAcentral.